AGGGUUUGAUCAUGGCUCAGAACGUACGCUGGCGGCACGCCUAACACAUGCAAGUCGAACGCAGUAGCAAUACUGAGUGGCAAACGGGUGAGUAUAAUGUGGGAAUCUGCCUUUUGGUUUGGAAUAACACGGGGAAACUUGUGCUAAUACCGAAUAAGCCCUUACGGGGAAAGUUUUAACGCCGAAAGAUGAGCCCGCACUUGAUUAGCUAGUUGGUAAGGUAAAAGCUUACCAAGGCAACGAUCAAUAGCUGUUCUUAGAGGAAGACCAGCCACAUUGGGACUGAGACACGGCCCAGACUCCUACGGGAGGCAGCAGUGGGGAAUCUUGCACAAUGGGGGAAACCCUGAUGCAGCGAUGCCGCGUGAGUGAAGAAGGCCUUUGGGUUGUAAAACUCUUUCGUCGGGGAAGAAAAUGACUGUACCCGAAUAAGAAGGUCCGGCUAACUUCGUGCCAGCAGCCGCGGUAAUACGAAGGGACCUAGCGUAGUUCGGAAUUACUGGGCUUAAAGAGCUCGUAGGUGGUUAAAAAAGUUGAUGGUGAAAUCCCAAGGCUCAACCUUGGAACUGCCAUCAAAACUUUUUAGCUAGAGUGUGAUAGAGGUAAGUGGAAUUUCUAGUGUAGAGGUGAAAUUCGUAGAUAUUAGAAAGAACACCAAAUGCGAAGGCAACUUACUGGGUCAUCACUGACACUGAGGAGCGAAAGCAUGGGUAGCGAAGAGGAUUAGAUACCCUCGUAGUCCAUGCCGUAAACGAUGAGUGCUAGACGUUGGAAAUAU
Molecule: ribosomal RNA, 778 nt
Filed under: uncultured bacterium
Lineage: Bacteria
Description: bacterial SSU rRNA
Rfam family: Bacterial small subunit ribosomal RNA
Source: RNAcentral